CCGGCGACGUAUCUUUCAAGUGUCUGCCUUAUCAACUUUCGACGGUAGGUUACAAGCCUACCGUGGUUAUAACAGGUGACGGGGAAUCAGGGUUCGAUUCCGGAGAGGGAGCCUGAGAAACGGCUGCCACAUCUAAGGAAGGCAGCAGGCGCGCAAAUUACCCACUCCCGGCACGGGGAGGUAGUGACGAAAAAUAACAAUACGGGACUCUACCGAGGCCUCGUAAUUGGAAUGAGUACAAUUUAAAAUCCUUAACGAGGAUCUAUUGGAGGGCAAGUCUGGUGCCAGCAGCCGCGGUAAUUCCAGCUCCAAUAGCGUAUAUUAAAGUUGUUGCGGUUAAAAAGCUCGUAGUUGGAUCUCAGUUCUGGGUGAGCACGGGUCCGCCAUAACAUUGGUGGACUGCUGACUUGCCCGGUGCAAAACCGCCCGGCUUCUCCCACGGUGCUCUUCACCGAGUGUCGUGGGUGGCCGACACGUUUACUUUGAGAAAACCAGAGUGCUUAAAGCAGGCGCAAGACGCCCGAAUGACUGUGCAUGGAAUAAUGGAAGAGGAUCUCGCUUCCGUCUUGUUGGUUCCUCGGAAGGCGAGAUAAUGAUUAAUAGAAGCAGUCGGGGGCAUUCGUAUUGCGACGUUAGAGGUGAAAUUCUUGGAUCGUCGCACGACGAACUACUGCGAAAGCAUUUGCCAAGAAUGUUUUCGUUAAUC
RNAcentral lists this ribosomal RNA (706 nucleotides) under Archasterope sp. J57065. RNAcentral describes it as "SSU rRNA". It matches the Rfam family "Eukaryotic small subunit ribosomal RNA", at positions 284 to 978 of the family's 1831-position model. Lineage: Eukaryota; Metazoa; Arthropoda; Ostracoda; Myodocopida; Cylindroleberididae. The record is from RNAcentral.